Non-coding RNA from Schistosoma haematobium, 45 nucleotides. NCBI's taxonomy places the organism in Eukaryota, Metazoa, Platyhelminthes, Trematoda, Strigeidida, Schistosomatidae. The record is from Rfam.
AUCCAGCUGACGAGUCCCAAAUAGAAAAAAACGCACGUCCUGGAU